RNAcentral lists this ribosomal RNA (407 nucleotides) under uncultured bacterium. RNAcentral describes it as "partial 16S ribosomal RNA". It matches the Rfam family "Bacterial small subunit ribosomal RNA", at positions 29 to 526 of the family's 1533-position model. The record is from RNAcentral.
AGCGAACGCUGGCGGCAGGCUUAACACAUGCAAGUCGAGGGGAGCGGCAGACGGGUGAGUAACGAGUGGGAACGUACCUUUUGGUUCGGAACAGCACAGGGAAAAUUGUGCUAAUACCGGAUACCGAAAGAUCGGCCCGCGUCGGAUUAGCUAGUUGGUGAGGUAAUGGAUCCCCAAGGCGACGAUCAGUAGCUGGUCUGAGAGGAUGAUCAGCCACAUUGGGACUGAGACACGGCCCACAAUCCUACGGGAGGCAGCAGUGGGGAAUAUUGGACAAUGGUGGCAACCCUGAUCCACCCAUGCCGCGUGAGUGAUGAAGGCCCUAGGGUUGUAAAGCUCUUUUGUGCGGGAAGCGGUACCGCAAGAAUAAGCCCCGGCUAACUUCGUGCCAGCCGCCGCGGUAAUUC